CAAGUCGAGCGGCAGCGCGGGGCAACCUGGCAGCGAGCGGCGAACGGGUGAGUAAUGCAUCGGAACGUGUCCCGUAGUGGGGGAUAACCCGGCGAAAGCCGGACUAAUACCGCAUAUUCUCUACGGAGGAAAGGGGGGGACCCGCAAGGGCCUCUCGCUAUGGGAGCGGCCGAUGUCCGAUUAGCUUGUUGGUGAGGUAAUGGCUUACCAAGGCGACGAUCGGUAGCUGGUCUGAGAGGAUGAUCAGCCACACUGGGACUGAGACACGGCCCAGACUCCUACGGGAGGCAGCAGUGGGGAAUUUUGGACAAUGGGGGCAACCCUGAUCCAGCCAUGCCGCGUGCGGGAAGAAGGCCUUCGGGUUGUAAACCGCUUUUGUCCGGAAAGAAAAGGCGCUCUCUAAUACGGGGCGUUCCUGACGGUACCGGAAGAAUAAGCACCGGCUAACUACGUGCCAGCAGCCGCGGUAAUACGUAGGGUGCGAGCGUUAAUCGGAAUUACUGGGCGUAAAGCGUGCGCAGGCGGUCCGCAAAGUCUGAUGUGAAAGCCCCGGGCUCAACCUGGGAACUGCAUUGGAAACUAACGGGCUCGAGUGUGGCAGAGGGGGGUGGAAUUCCACGUGUAGCAGUG
RNAcentral lists this ribosomal RNA (630 nucleotides) under uncultured beta proteobacterium. RNAcentral describes it as "bacterial SSU rRNA". It matches the Rfam family "Bacterial small subunit ribosomal RNA", at positions 58 to 683 of the family's 1533-position model. The record is from RNAcentral. Lineage: Bacteria; Pseudomonadati; Pseudomonadota; Betaproteobacteria.